Molecule: ribosomal RNA, 465 nt
Filed under: Vreelandella stevensii
Lineage: Bacteria; Pseudomonadati; Pseudomonadota; Gammaproteobacteria; Oceanospirillales; Halomonadaceae
Description: partial 16S ribosomal RNA
Rfam family: Bacterial small subunit ribosomal RNA
Source: RNAcentral
CCUACGGGAGGCAGCAGUGGGGAAUAUUGGACAAUGGGGGCAACCCUGAUCCAGCCAUGCCGCGUGUGUGAAGAAGGCCCUCGGGUUGGAAAGCACUUUCAGUGAGGAAGAACGCCUGGUGGUUAAUACCCAUCAGGAAAGACAUCACUCACAGAAGAAGCACCGGCUAACUCCGUGCCAGCAGCCGCGGUAAUACGGAGGGUGCGAGCGUUAAUCGGAAUUACUGGGCGUAAAGCGCGCGUAGGUGGCUUGAUAAGCCGGUUGUGAAAGCCCCGGGCUCAACCUGGGAACGGCAUCCGGAACUGUCAAGCUAGAGUGCAGGAGAGGAAGGUAGAAUUCCCGGUGUAGCGGUGAAAUGCGUAGAGAUCGGGAGGAAUACCAGUGGCGAAGGCGGCCUUCUGGACUGACACUGACACUGAGGUGCGAAAGCGUGGGUAGCAAACAGGAUUAGAUACCCCUGUAGUC